UAGGGAAUUUUCGUCAAUGGGCGCAAGCCUGAACGAGCAAUGCCGCGUGAACGAGGAAGGUCUUCGGAUCGUAAAGUUCUGUUGAGAGGGAAAAAGGGUCACCAGAGGAAAUGCUGGUGAAGUGAUAUUACCUUUCGAGGAAGUCACGGCUAACUACGUGCCAGCAGCCGCGGUAAUACGUAGGUGGCGAGCGUUAUCCGGAAUGAUUGGGCGUAAAGGGUGCGUAGGCGGCCUGUUAAGUCUGAAGUGAAAGGUACCGGCUCAACCGGUACAGGCUUUGGAAACUGGCAGGCUGGAGGACAGGAGAGGGCGGUGGAACUCCAUGUGUAGCGGUAAAAUGCGUAGAUAUAUGGAAGAACACCAGUGGCGAAGGCGGCCGCCUGGCCUGUUACUGACGCUGAGGCACGAAAGCGUGGGGAGCAAAUAGGAUUAGAUACC
Molecule: ribosomal RNA, 438 nt
Filed under: uncultured bacterium
Lineage: Bacteria
Description: bacterial SSU rRNA
Rfam family: Bacterial small subunit ribosomal RNA
Source: RNAcentral